UACGUAGGGUGCGAGCGUUAAUCGGAAUUACUGGGCGUAAAGCGUGCGCAGGCGGUUUGGUAAGACAGGCGUGAAAUCCCCGGGCUUAACCUGGGAACUGCGUUUGUGACUGCCAGGCUAGAGUACGGCAGAGGGGGGUGGAAUUCCACGUGUAGCAGUGAAAUGCGUAGAGAUGUGGAGGAACACCAAUGGCGAAGGCAGCCCCCUGGGUCGAUACUGACGCUCAUGCACGAAAGCGUGGGUAGCAAACAGG
Molecule: ribosomal RNA, 253 nt
Filed under: uncultured bacterium
Lineage: Bacteria
Also listed under: 1 other name
Description: partial 16S ribosomal RNA
Rfam family: Bacterial small subunit ribosomal RNA
Source: RNAcentral